GUAAUAGUAAAGGGUAAGAGUAAAGGGUUAAGGGUAAUAGUAAAGGGUAUGAGUAAAGGGUAUGAGUAAAGGGUAUGAGUAAAGUCGAACCUUGGCUACUCUGAUGGAGUUGACCCAGAGGGAGAGAGUGUGCUCAUCGUCACAACACAGGAACCUGAUGUACUGGGACUCCUUCUGGAUCUGAGGAUGCUACAGAGCAAGACCACAACAUAUUGUAUUGAUGAAGUUCAUCAAAGAGCCUGCAGGAGGCGACCUAUGCUCACAUUAGCCAAGCCAUAAGAUGGAGCUCCAUAUGUACUUCACUUGCAAUGAAAAUAGUGUCCAAAACAGAAAUGGAUUCAGCUCGUAUGUUGCCGUUAUAAACCAUACCGUGGAAAUAUAAGCUCAAGUUCAAGAAAAUAGUGUCCAAAACAGAAAUGGAUUCAGCUCGUAUGUUGCCGUUAUAAACCAUACCGUGGAAAUAUAAGCUCAAGUUCAAGAAAAUAGUGUCCAAAACAGAAAUGGAUUCAGCUCGUAUGUUGCCGUUAUAAACCAUACCGUGGAAAUAUAAGCUCAAGUUCAAGGGUGUUGAUGGGAGAAGAGUAAAAAAACUCAAAUGGAUAACCAUCAUGCUAUUGUUUCCUCUGAAGUGGAUGGCCUACCUUGAGGAUGAAGCAGAAGUCAGUGGGUGCUUUGUAUUUCUGUUUGUAAUCAGUGGUGGUGUAGAUGUUGACUUUGUCAAACUGAAUGAAGCACGCCAGGUCCCUGGAUGUCUGCCAAGGGAGAAAAACAUGAAAAAACCUGCACAAGUAGAAUUCAGUUCAUAUGGAUUAUAUUAUUGAAGAUGCAGCACAUAGUAUAUCCCAGAAGCUCUCAGCAGGAAGUAGCGACGUUUCCACGAUUUCUUCCCGUCCUCCCUCAGAUACAGCGGCCCUUCCAGGUCUGGGACGAUGAGAGACGGCCCCUCAAAAUUUUCCUGGAUUCAGACGUUUAAAAUAAGAGAACAAGCAGCAGUUGUUUAAAACAAAUGGCUACACGCAAGAAGACCAUCAAUGAGCCCUACCAGUGUAGACUGCUGAGGGGAGGACGCCUUAUUAUAAUGGCUGGAACGGCGUGAAUGGAAUGGCAUCCAACACAUGGAAACCAUGUUUAAUACCAUUACCACGAGCCCAUCCUCCGCAAUUAAGAAUCGUCUCAUCAUGAAGGCUAUACCCACACCGUACCUUCAAGCUGUUGGCUAUAGCACACAUACCAAUACCAGAGCGGACACACUCACUAUAACACAAACAUUUGUUGUGGGAAACCCAUCAGUAGAGUUGAAAAUGCAAUGAACAGUCAUUUAACUUUUUAAAAUGUAUUUUGUACAUGGGAAUUUAACUGCAAAAUUUAUUUUUAUGUGCCCUACGUAAUCACACAGAGCAUUUUAUCCUCAACAGGUCAAUGUGAUGGAAACUGCAUAUUGUUUUAAUGUGGAUUUUAGAAUAUUCGGAUGAACAUCUGUUGCCAAUUGGAUGGAAACCUAGCUAGUGACACAGAUUUAGCCUACAGCUGCCAGUUAAUAAUUUGGCUGUAUAUUGUAUGAAAUAUUAGGCUAAUUAACACUUAGGUCUAAUGAGGGAAGGGGAAAUUCAGGGGAACACAUUUGACAGGCACGAACUUGCAAUAGCUUAAAAAGUUGUUAGAUUGGCUUUUAUAACACAGAAUUCAUUAGCCAUCUAUAAAACAUUAAAUACAGUACUACUGCUUUUUAUUAAAUACAAGUCAUCGUGUAUUACUAUGAAAAAAACGUAAUGAAUAAAUAAUAAUUGCUAAAUAAUCCUCUGUUAAAACAAUUAAAAUACACAGACCUUUUAACAAUGCUUAUUCGCUCCUGAAUCUCAGUCUCUUGAGCCAAUGAGUGGAAGUGAGUCUGGUGUCAGAUAACAUUACAUAACCACCGCCACUGGAGGCUUGUAAGUCCCACCUAUUUAAUUUGCUGAAAGGUCUGUCAUUUCUUGGCAGAAAGAUAUCCAUACACUGUAAAACAAACCACAACGCUGGAAAUCUGUCCACAUCCACAUAAAGUAGUAUGAGGAUUCUAUGACAAACAAUAGAAGAGAGGGAGAGAAGGAGACUGGCAGUUCCUUCAUGUAGCCAAUGGUUGUAUUAUACAGUCAAAACGUUAAGGAACUGGUGGUCUCUCUCUCCUUCUCUAUUGAGUUAUAUGGAGCAUAACUUAGCUAAGU
Molecule: non-coding RNA, 2204 nt
Organism: Salmo salar (Atlantic salmon)
Lineage: Eukaryota; Metazoa; Chordata; Actinopteri; Salmoniformes; Salmonidae
Source: RefSeq, a predicted model, not a curated record